ACGAACGCUGGCGGCGUGCUUCACACAUGCCAGUCGCACGGAAAGGCCCUGCUUGCAGGGUACUCGAGUGGCGAACGGGUGAGUAACACGUGGGUGAUCUGCCCUGCACUUCGGGAUAAGCCUGGGAAACUGGGUCUAAUACCGGAUAGGAGCCAUUUUUAGUGUGAUGGUUGGAAAGUUUUUUCGGUGUAGGAUGAGCUCGCGGCCUAUCAGCUUGUUGGUGGGGUAAUGGCCUACCAAGGCGGCGACGGGUAGCCGGCCUGAGGGGGUGGACGGCCACAUUGGGACUGAGAUACGGCCCAGACUCCUACGGGAGGCAGCAGUGGGGAAUAUUGCACAAUGGGCGCAAGCCUGAUGCAGCGACGCCGCGUGGGGGAUGACGGCCUUCGGGUUGUAAACUCCUUUCGCUAGGGACGAAGCUUUUUGUGACGGUACCUAGAUAAGAAGCACCGGCUAACUACGUG
RNAcentral lists this ribosomal RNA (464 nucleotides) under uncultured bacterium. Its description in RNAcentral is "partial 16S ribosomal RNA". It matches the Rfam family "Bacterial small subunit ribosomal RNA", at positions 29 to 507 of the family's 1533-position model. The record is from RNAcentral.